Molecule: ribosomal RNA, 418 nt
Filed under: uncultured eukaryote
Lineage: Eukaryota
Description: bacterial SSU rRNA
Rfam family: Eukaryotic small subunit ribosomal RNA
Source: RNAcentral
CAGUAGCGUACAUUUACGUUGUUGCAGUUAAAAAGUUCGUAGUUGGAGUUCUGGCUUGGAUCGCCCGUUCACGUCCCUCUUGAAGGGCACGUAGUAACGUUGGUGUCAUCCGGUCAUCCGCCCAUCUCAUCGCCGAUACCCUUUAUUGGGCCGUCGCGUGUAUGGUUGGGCCAUUUACUUUGAAAAAAUUAGAGUGUUUCAAGCAGGCAAUUGCUAGAAUACAUUAGCAUGGAAUAAUGAUAUAGGACUUUUGUCUUAUUUUGUUGGUUUCCUAGACAGAAGUAAUGAUAGAUGAGCGCAGUUGGGGGUGCUAGUAUUCCACGGCCAGAGGUGAAAUUCUUGGAUUCAUGGAAGACUAACUUAUGCGAAAGCAUUCACCAAGGAUGUCGCUCUCAAUCAAGAACGAAAGUUGGGGGGA